CUUGAAACUAAUCUAAAGGUGUUGACAAGAGCUGAGAAACUUUUUUUUUUUACAUAUAUAUAGACCUGCUCUGGUGUCAUUAUCAAUUAAUAAACAUCCACCCCUCAAGUAUUGCUAUGGCGUAACCAAUUUGAGUUAUGGGCAAAGUGAGAGACUUGUUAAUGCCCUUCAUCAGCUUGUAAAAGUAGCCUUGUACGUUCAAAUUUGAUAGAAAUCUACUUUAAACUUGUUUUUCUACACUUUAACCUCUCUAUACAUCUUUGUAUGUGAAAUUAAAUUGUGAAAAAGCAAGCAGAGCUGAGGAAAUAAGGUAUUUCUGAUUGACAAAAUAUCUGAAUUGGCCAGUUGCAUUUUAUUGAGGCUGGCUAUACUUCAAGGAUUAUUUCUGUCAAGACUACACAUCAGAUAUAAUUGAUUUGUUAACAAGCAUGAAUCUAGGCUAAAUUGUGAUUUGAACAGACCAUUACCUUUAAGAAUUACUUUUAAGCAUGUAAAUACUACUAUAAUACAUUGAUUAAUUUUGUGAUGAACCAAAUUUGAUAGGAAAUGCCGGCUGAUCGACACAUGAAGCUAAUUGCCUACUGAUACUCUUGACUAUAUUUCUUAUUCAGGGUGUGAGUCAGAAAAUAUAAUUGAUAUUCUUUUUCAGAAGAUGCUGCAAUUGCUCUACAAUGAACUUUAUGAACAUCAUUUCAUUUAAGGCUGGAUAUAUUCUGUAAGACUUUGGAGGACGACUAAUGAAAGGUCCCAAAAUGAAUACACAGAAGAAUGAAGAAUCAGAGACGAUGAAACCAGCUUAAAGUGAAAUGAUGGUGUAUUUUCUCUUCAAUUGAACCUCAAGAACAUCAUAUCAGUUAAGGCUGAAUAGAUUCUAUGUAAGAAUUUGGAGAAUGACAAAUUAAAGGUCCCAAAAUGAAUACACAGAAGAAUGAAGAAUCAGAGACGAUGAAACCAGCUUAAUGUGAAAUGGAGAUGGUACGUUUUCUCUACAAUGAACCUUAUGAACGUCAUGGCAUUUAAGACUUGAUUGAUUCUUUAUAAGAAAUUGGAAAAAAUUACCAAUGAAAGGUCCCAAAGUGAAUACACAGAAGAAUGAAGAAUCAGAGACGAUGAAACCAGCUUAAAGUGAAAUGAUGGUGCAUUUUCUCUUCAAUGAACCUUAAGAACAUCAUAUCAGUUAAGGCUGGAUAUAUUCUGUAAGAAUUUGGAGAAUGACUAAUGAAAGAUCGCUUAAUGAAUAAGCAUUAGAAGAAUGAAAAACCAGUAAGAGAAACCAGCUUAAAGUAAAAUGGAUGUGGUUCCUUUUCUCUUCAAUGAACUCAGUGGUCGCAUUUCAAUUAAGGUAAAGCAAAAUCUACAUUUGAGAUGCACAAGAGAUGAUUUUCAGGUAAUGUUUAACUUGGAACCUAAUUAUGUUCAUUACUAGUGUGUAUCUUUUGACAGGCAACAAGUCUUCAUUGAUGCUUCUUUUCUUGUUUUGUACAGUUUUGUAUAUUAAAGUUCAUUACUGGUAGGAGGAGAUACAUGGAUAGUUGUAAUAAAGGAAGAAACCAGAUAGGUAUUGCUGUUCCCAUAUUUAUUCAGAUUAUGAACUAGAUUUAAUAUGAAAAGCCAGCUAAUUGGUACUUGAAGAUAAGUAUGUGCUAACAACCUAAGAUACACAUUUUGUGGAUAAAUGGUCAGCAAAUAAAUAUUAAUAAAUAAAUCUCAACAGUAGUUUUUUAUGGAAUAAAGUAUCAAACAAAAAAUAUACCAUCAUAAAAAUAAUCAAUCGGCUGAGGGCCAGGAUGACAGGAGUAUGUAGUUAUGAGAACUUGUGAAGACUCACAGGAAGGAAAUUACAUGCCACGAGUGCAUACAGCUUAGAGAGGAUUAGUCAGUCGGCAUUGUGUGACAUCCAUAUGUACAUGGAAAUGCCAGCUGAUCAAUCCAUGAAGCUAAUUACCUGCUUAUUCCUUAUGUUUGUGUGGGGGUGAUGAAUAAUUCUGAGAGAAUAUAUUUUGUAGUGACUUAUAGAAAGUGAAUGUUUUCUCUUAGGUGAUUAUUACAGUCCUCAGCAUUUUAAGUCGUGAUUUUGAUGCAUAAUUAAAAAUUAGCAACACAUGUUGCUCUCAUUCUGGAAAGCGGAUACUUAUAACAGCUUGUCCAGUUUGAUCGUAAUUUGCAUCGAAAAAAAAUAUAUAAUUCUUUUGCUACUGCUGCUGACCUCUUUAAAUAUGAAAAUGGUUUCAAAGGCUAACAAAAAUUCUUCCAUGAAAAUGGAAAUGAAAAGUAGGAUGAAUAUAAAAUUUGGUAAAUGAUCUUUUGUUUCAAUAUCAAAUUUAAAUAGUGCAUAUUCGAACCAAACAAAUAAGUUAUGGAUUAAUGAAUCUAAUUUGACAUGGAAAUGCAGACUGGUUGAUGCUUGUAAGAAAGAUAACUUGGAUCCAAUUCUCCCCAAAAAUUUAUAUGUAAGAUUCAAGAUUAGCAAACUAGUAGCAGGAGUUUAUAAAGAGUAUCUGCAGUUGAAGUGUAUAAUUCUGUUUAAGGGAAUUGUUGAAUUUCAUAUUGCAAAGCAUAGAAUUUAUAAUGAUCAGGAGGGGGGUGGCUUAUACUUUUUUUUUCUUCUUCUUCUUUUUCUAUGUAAAUGUUUUAUAUUAACCCAAUGUUGACAGGAAAAUAGUGCAUUCCCUUUGGCAAAGCUUGGUUAAAUGUUUCUGCACAUAGAUGGCUUUGCCAAUGCUUAGCCACAAAUUAGUCAAUUAGUAGAUCUUCCACUGUCACUUUUCCUUGAAAAAGCAGGAAAAUGCUUUUUCUACUAAUGUUAUCAAUAUUUGACACUUAUUUUUGGACACCUUUGUCACUAAAUGCUAAUUUUGCUGAGAAGAAACACAUGAUCUGAAUUGUUCCAAUACUUUUACAUGUUUGUGUACAACAAAGAUAGAAAUUUAAAACCAUCACUGAAAGAUAAUGUUUAGAUUAACUUCAAAUAUCUAUAUUUCCAAUGUAUAUGGAUCAUAGAAGAAAUCUGUGAUUAUAAACCUAAUAUGAGAGCCAUGCAGUUUGGCUGUGGAAAAGUAAUUUAGCAUAGGGGGACUGGAAUGGUGUUAGGUCAAGUAUGUCCCAGAAUAUGGCUGUACUCAUGACCAAAUUGAAUGAUGUCCUUUACUCAUGCGUGUCAUCUGAAGGGUAACAUGUCUUGGCGGUUGAUAAUUUACUGUGCGUUUUGCACAGUGAGUGUAUACUUCCAAUGGCUUUUUUCUCUUGUGAUUAUAACGAGUAUCUGAAAAAUCACUUCAUCUUUUAUUUCUUUUUAUGCUAUUCUUUUCUAAUCAAAACCUUUUUUCCCUUUAAGGAUUGGUGUGUAGCAGAAACUGAUUAAAUAGCCACCAGCUGUACAUUCCCACAGAAUGCUGCAUUUUCAACUUCCUGCAAAAUUGAUGUUUUGUAUGAUGUAGAUUAUGCUCAAUAAAGUAUGCAAAUUUA
Molecule: non-coding RNA, 3465 nt
Organism: Penaeus vannamei (Pacific white shrimp)
Lineage: Eukaryota; Metazoa; Arthropoda; Malacostraca; Decapoda; Penaeidae
Source: RefSeq, a predicted model, not a curated record